RNAcentral lists this transfer RNA (87 nucleotides) under Filimonas zeae. Its description in RNAcentral is "tRNA-Leu". It matches the Rfam family "tRNA". Rfam says of the family: Transfer RNA (tRNA) molecules are approximately 80 nucleotides in length. Their secondary structure includes four short double-helical elements and three loops (D, anti-codon, and T loops). The record is from RNAcentral. Lineage: Bacteria; Pseudomonadati; Bacteroidota; Chitinophagia; Chitinophagales; Chitinophagaceae.
GCCCAGAUGGCGAAAUUGGUAGACGCACUGUGUUCAGGUCGCAGCGCCUGCAAGGGUGUGCUGGUUCGAAUCCAGUUCUGGGCACCA